CUGCGGGUAAUACCGGAUAACGUCUAAGGACCAAAGGUGUAAUUCCGUCUGAGGAUGAGUCCGCGUCCUAUUAGCUUGUUGGUGGGGUAAUGGUCUACCAAGGCAAUGAUGGGUACUGGGUGUGAGAGCAUGACCCAGCUCACUGGGACUGAGACACUGCCCAGACACCUACGGGUGGCUGCAGUCGAGGAUCUUCGGCAAUGGGCGCAAGCCUGACCGAGCGACGCCGCGUGCGGGAUGAAGGCCUUCGGGUUGUAAACCGCUGUCAGAGGGGAUGAAAUGCGUAGGGGUACUCUCCUACGUUUGACAUAUCCUCAGAGGAAGUACGGGCUAAGUUCGUGCCAGCAGCCGCGGUAAGACGAACCGUACGAACGUUAUUCGGAAUUACUGGGCUUAAAGGGUGCGUAGGCGGCGUGGCAAGUUGGGUGUGAAAUCCCUCGGCUUAACCGAGGAACUGCGCCCAAUACUGCCGUGCUCGAGGGAGACAGAGGUGAGCGGAACUUAGGGUGGAGCGGUGAAAUGCGUUGAUAUCCUAAGGAACACCUGUGGCGAAAGCGGCUCACUGGGUCUCUUCUGACGCUGAGGCACGAAAGCUAGGGUAGCGAACGGGAUUAGAUACCCCGGUAGUCCUAGCUGUAAACGAUGAGCACUGGGUUGGAGGGUCCUCCAUAGCCUUCCAGCCGAAGCGAAAGUGU
RNAcentral lists this ribosomal RNA (695 nucleotides) under uncultured bacterium. Its description in RNAcentral is "bacterial SSU rRNA". It matches the Rfam family "Bacterial small subunit ribosomal RNA", at positions 157 to 860 of the family's 1533-position model. The record is from RNAcentral.